GUAUAGGGGGUGAAUUCUGCCCAAUGGUUGUAUAGUGAAACCGAGGAUUAACGUCCGAGGCUAAGCCCAAUUGAAUGGCCGCGGUAUACCUGACCGUGAUAAUGUAGCACAAUAAAUAGCCAAUUAAUUGUUGGCGGGUAUGAAUGGAAUCACGAGGGUCUUACUGUCUCAAGAGGAAAGCCGAUGAAAUUAUAGUUGUAGUGAAGAUACUACAUAGACAUUGUAAGACGAAAAGACCCUAUCGAGCUUUACUGGACACUGACAGUGUUAGUGUAAGAAGGACUAUCCCCUACUGGGUUAUCUUUUUGCGCUUAACUAUUAGUCGGUCGGACAGUUUAGUUGGGGCGACUACCUUUGAAUAAGAAACGAAGGCGAGCUUAUGGUGUACUGCUAAUCUCAUUAGCCUGACAGUGAGGGGGACACCCCGAGCUGGCACCCCCCCCUGUGGGGGUGGGCGAUAAUGACCCGAUACUCGUACUCCAAAGGCAGUAUCGAAAGCGGAUAAAAGCUACCGUAGGGAUAACAGCGUAAUAUCAUUGGAGAGUUCUUAUCGAGGAUGGUGUUUGCGACCUCGAUGUUGAAUUGCGGUGCCCUGGUGCUGUAGAAGGUACCUUGGGUUGGUC
Molecule: ribosomal RNA, 623 nt
Filed under: Leptophyton fustis
Lineage: Eukaryota; Metazoa; Cnidaria; Anthozoa; Malacalcyonacea; Leptophytidae
Description: partial 16S ribosomal RNA
Rfam family: Bacterial large subunit ribosomal RNA
Source: RNAcentral